Molecule: non-coding RNA, 610 nt
Organism: Silurus meridionalis
Lineage: Eukaryota; Metazoa; Chordata; Actinopteri; Siluriformes; Siluridae
Source: the annotation of a RefSeq genome assembly
ACUCAGAGAAGGAUGAUUUUAGGACAUUGGAUUUUAUUUGGACUCAUUUCAUAUUGUUAUGGACAGUCCCUGACCUCCUCUGCUUCUGUGGUGAAGAGACCUGGAGAGUCAGUCACUGUGUCCUGUACUGUCUCUGGAUUCUCAAUGAGCAGCUGGUAUAUGAGUUGGAUCCGUCAGAAACCAGGACGAGGACUGGAGUGGAUUGGAUACAUUGACACUGGCACUGGCACAGCAUUCGCUCAGUCUCUACAGGGCCAGUUCUCCAUCACUAAAGACACCAAUAAAAACAUGCUGUAUCUAGAAGUGAAGAGUCUGAAAGCUGAAGACACGGCUGUUUAUUACUGUGCACGAGACUCACACUGAUCCAACAGACUGCAGAGCUGUACAAAAACUUACACAAACACGUCCUCAUGAGCUGUAAAUAUUCCCUCAGCAGGAAACUGAACCCCACAGACAUUUAUUAUAAACAUAAGAGGUUAUAUUUCUUUUCUCUUCUUUUAUUUCUUUUCCCUCCAUCAACAGACAAAAUUCCUCUUUAAAAUGCUCAGUUAUUUCUUUUCAUUAUCUCUGGCUGGUGGCUAAAGGCAGAAGACAAACAUGAAAGCAAAAU